This 440-nucleotide ribosomal RNA is filed under the name uncultured bacterium. RNAcentral's name for it is "partial 16S ribosomal RNA". It matches the Rfam family "Bacterial small subunit ribosomal RNA", at positions 338 to 795 of the family's 1533-position model. The record is from RNAcentral.
CCUACGGGUGGCAGCAGUAGGGAAUAUUGCUCAAUGGGGGAAACCCUGAAGCAGCAACGCCGCGUGGAGGAUGAAGGUUUUAGGAUUGUAAACUCCUUUUGUGAGAGAAGAUAAUGACGGUAUCUGACGAAUAAGCACCGGCUAACUCCGUGCCAGCAGCCGCGGUAAUACGUAGGGUGCAAGCGUUACUCGGAAUCACUGGGCGUAAAGGGUGCGCAGGCGGGCUUGUAAGUCAGAUGUGAAAGCCUGUAGCUUAACUACAGAACUGCACUUGAAACUAUGAGGCUGGAGUGUGGGAGAGGUAGGUGGAAUUCUUGGUGUAGGGGUAAAAUCCGUAGAUAUCAAGAGGAAUACUCAUUGCGAAGGCGACCUACUGGAACAUGACUGACGCUCAUGCACGAAAGCGUGGGGAGCAAACAGGAUUAGAUACCCUUGUAGUC